CAAUGCUUUAGGAAAAAAUGAGUGUAGUUGAAACAAGGAUAUUAAGAUGGAUGUGUUGUAAGACAAGGAGAUAUGGAUAUAUUCAAAUAUGGAGUUGAAAUACCUUUUUGUCAUCCAUAACAAUGUUUCUUUCUUGUGACGUGAUGUGAUUGCUUGUUUUGUGACAAUGCUGAUGUACAAGCUGAUUUUUCACUUAUUGAGCCAAUGCUACAAGAUGAGGAUUGCAUAGAGAAAGAAUGCCCAAAGAAAUGACCAUGACGUGCGGGAUUCUUGCUUCGACAAUUCAAGAGAAAGUGGUGCUGAAGGAGGACAAAGAAAGGAUAGAGCAGCAGCUGAAAGCACAAGGAAAUGGUUACUGUUUCAUCUUCAAAAAUUGGCCACGGUUGUUGCUCCGAAAAAAUGGAGAAGCAGGAUAGUUGCUUACAUUAAUGUCAAGUCGAGUAAUUCAAUUGGUUUUAUGAUUUUUGUGAUAGCAUUUGGCCACCUGUAAUAAAAUGGAGAUAUAAUUCAUUUGGUCACCUAUACUAGUUGAGAGUUUUUGUGAUAGCAUUUGGUUUAAUGGUUUUUGUUGUGAAUGGAUAACUUGGCAACGAAUUUUGGA
This is a long non-coding RNA of Rhododendron vialii, 601 nucleotides long. RefSeq lists it as uncharacterized. The transcript is spliced from 2 exons. Lineage: Eukaryota; Viridiplantae; Streptophyta; Magnoliopsida; Ericales; Ericaceae. The record is from RefSeq and is a predicted model, not a curated record.